CCUACGGGUGGCAGCAGUGAGGAAUAUUGGUCAAUGGCCGUAAGGCUGAACCAGCCAAGUCGCGUGAAGGAAGAAGGAUCUAUGGUUUGUAAACUUCUUUUAUAGGGGAAUAAAGGUAUCCACGUGUGGAGAUUUGCAUGUACCCUAUGAAUAAGCAUCGGCUAAAUCCGUGCCAGCAGCCGCGGUAAUACAGAGGAUGCGAGCGUUAUCCGGGCUUAUUGGGUUUAAAGGGUGCGGAGGUUGUUUUUUAAGUCAGCGGUGAAAGUUUGUGGUUCAACCAUAAAAUUGCCGUUGAAACUGGAAGACUUGAGUGUGUUUGAGGUAGGCGGAAUGCGUGGUGUAGCGGUGAAAUGCAUAGAUAUCACGCAGAACUCCGAUUGCGAAGGCAGCUUACUAAGCCAUAACUGACACUGAAGCACGAAAGCGUGGGGAGCAAACAGGAUUAGAUACCCUUGUAGUC
This 460-nucleotide ribosomal RNA is filed under the name uncultured bacterium. RNAcentral's name for it is "partial 16S ribosomal RNA". It matches the Rfam family "Bacterial small subunit ribosomal RNA", at positions 338 to 795 of the family's 1533-position model. The record is from RNAcentral.